Molecule: long non-coding RNA, 970 nt
Organism: Tachysurus fulvidraco (yellow catfish)
Lineage: Eukaryota; Metazoa; Chordata; Actinopteri; Siluriformes; Bagridae
Exons: 4
Source: RefSeq, a predicted model, not a curated record
UAUAAAUGACAUCCUUCCAUGUGUCAGAUUCAUAAUCUGCUGAUAAAUGAGAUAUAAAGGAAACAUAAAAUGACUCGAUUCUGGAUUUCAGUUUUGUUCAGAUUGCUCUUUUGGACAAUGUAAUCCCCCCCAAAUCCAGAUGUUUAUCAGGCUGAAGAAAAGCUCGGUGUGAAUAUCGGAGCCUCGGCUACUCUACAAUGUUGUGUUUUAGGAACAGAAAACGGAGACAUUAUCUGGUUUAAGCAACAAAACACAAAACAGCCUCAGGUUAUAGUCAGAUUAUUUAACACUGCCAGAGAAAAGUUUUACAAAGAAUUCCAAAAUUCUCGUUUUCAAAUUAAAAGGUUCGGACACUGCUUCAAUUUGACCAUUUUAAACACCACAAUGUGUGAUGAAGCCACAUAUUACUGUGCGCUCGUGUCUACUGAUGGAACUCGUGUACAAAUGAAAGGUAGGAUUUCUACUGAAACGAAUGAUGGGACUGAUUAAAUGUUGUAACGUUUUAUUCUUCAUCAACAUUCUCAACAUUCUUCAAAGAUAUUCAGGUUUAGUUUUUAGUGACGUGUCGUGAUAAGCGUUUCUAUGUGAGCGUGUUAACGCUGAAACAUCUAAAGCAGCUCUGUGUGAUAAUUCAGUGGUGUGUGAACCAACACCGCAUGGAGACAACACUAACACCGACACACGACAUGACACAGUGAUUUCUCCAGAAAGUAGGAAGAAAUCACAUUUCAACACUUUGACUUAUGCAGCAUUGAAGAGAAGUGAAUUUUGCUUGUCAGACAAUCCGGUGCACUCCGAAGUGACGUAUAUGAAACUGUAAUAUAUGAAAAAACUGAUAAUAAUAAUUGUUGUUGUUUUUGUUGUUGUUGUUGUUGUAGUUGUUGUUGUUAUUGUAUAUCUUCCAAAUGAUUAUAAAUAAUCAAUUAAAUGUGACAUACAAAUCUGUGUAUCCAGAUGUAUUUGCAAAAAA